CUUAGGGGGAAGAAGAACACAAGCAAAAACCUAACCCUCACUUUAAUUUCAAAUCCAUGUAACUUUUGAUCCAGAGCUCCGAUUGACGAACCGUUUGCGAUCACGCGUUCACCGUGACGAGCUCUACGAAACCCAUGGAACAAUUUGGUUCAAGUUAGCUUCCGGAACUUGUGGGCUCAAGCUAUUGAGCAUAUGGGUAUGGUGUAGAUUAAGUGGGUAUAUAUGCAUUGGGAAUAUUUAGAGGCUUGUUGGUGAUCAAAGCUUAGUUUGUGGCUAUUUUACUUGAGCUUGAAGAGGCUGUAAUUUUGUGUUGAAAAGC
This is a long non-coding RNA of Arachis stenosperma, 319 nucleotides long. RefSeq lists it as uncharacterized. Lineage: Eukaryota; Viridiplantae; Streptophyta; Magnoliopsida; Fabales; Fabaceae. The record is from RefSeq and is a predicted model, not a curated record. The transcript is spliced from 3 exons.